RNA transcript from Monodelphis domestica (gray short-tailed opossum), 3599 nucleotides. It is a transcript of the gene named CD200 molecule, with no coding region annotated. NCBI's taxonomy places the organism in Eukaryota, Metazoa, Chordata, Mammalia, Didelphimorphia, Didelphidae. The record is from RefSeq and is a predicted model, not a curated record.
ACAUUUGAUAGCGUCCUCUGGAUGAGUUCUUGCAGCUCCGCUCUGACAGGGCGAGGAGAGUAUAGGGGAGGAGCUUCCAUGAGAAAUCGGAAUUUUUAUUUUAAAAGCGGUCGGAUCAGGGGGCUUUCCUCCUCUUACUGAUGGAGCGGCAGGUACACGAGAGGUUCUUCUGUCCUAGUUCCACUUACAGUCUGAUUUGGAGCCUGACUAUUGUGAUGCUAUGCUGGGCACAAGGAAAAGUAAUAACCGAGAAUGAGACAGUACCACUGGAGAGACCUGCUUCCUUAAAAUGUUCCCUGUCAACGCCUCAAGAGGCCUUGAUAGUUACAUGGCAGAAACUCAGUAAAGGAAGACCAGAAAAUAUAGCAACCUACAGCAUGGCACAUGGAGUAGUAAUCCAAAAACCUUACCAAAAUAAAAUAGAAAUGACCCAGCAAGGGCUCAGCGAGUCGACCAUCACCUUCUUACGAACCACACCUGAGGAUGAACACUGCUAUUCAUGCAUCUUUAACAUCUUUGGUUCUGAAGCAGUCUCAGGAAAAACAUGCCUCAAACUUUAUGUACAGCCCAAAGUAUUCCUGAACUAUGAGUUCUCUGGGGACCACCUGAAUGUUACCUGCUCUGCCAUUGGCCGGCCAUCCCCUGUGAUCUCCUGGAAGGUGUCUGGCUUAGUGGCACAGAAUACCAAUGAGAGUAACAACAAUCUAAAUGGUACCACAUCAGUCACUAGCACACUCCACAUCAAAGAUUUUGAAAAGUGGGCUGAGAAAAAGAUUGUCUGUAAUGUGCAGCACAUGGAGAGUACGAUGGACUACAAUGUAACCCCAAGCAAAGGAGGCACAGGUCAUCAUGUUUCAGUGCCUAUAAUGGUGAGUGUCCUUGUGUCAGUAGUGCUCCUGGUAACCUUGGUUAUAAUCUUACUCUACUGGAAAUAUCGACACCAGAGUAAAGGGAUAUAAUUUUCCAUUAGGAUUGCUUUAGAUGUACACCAGAAAUUAAGACAGGGGAUAAAUUCAGUGGGCAUUCCAGCUCUGGCCUCCUUGGCUUCUUGUCGGCAAACAUGGUGGUGCAUUCUAGAAGAUUCACAGCAGAUGUCUCAAGCCAUUCCUUGGCCUAUGUGACUUAGAAACAGAAGACUCUGUAAGCAAUGACCACCAGAACCUAAAAGGAGGAAAGAAAGGUAUCAAGAACCUGGAGGACAACUGGGAGUUUUAUAACAAUUGACUCUAGCCAUGUACUUGCUCUGAUUUUUUACAAGAAUGCAUUCAUUCAGGAAAUUAGGUCAUUCAGUGGCUAGAGCGCCAAGCCUGGAGACAGAAUGUCUUGCGUUCAAAUAUGACUUCAGAUACUUCCUACUGUGUGAUCCUGGGUAAGUCAUUUAACUCCAAUUGCCUAGCCCUUAUCGUUCUUCUGACUUUGAGCAGAUACUUAGUAUCAUUUCUAAGACAGAAGAUAAAUGUUUUUAAAAAAGAAGAAAAAAGGAAAGAAAAAGCAAAAUGAAGCAAAGAGAAAAGAGGCUAGGAGCAUGAUGAGGACCAAAGAAGACAUUCCAGCUUUCUUUCCAAAUAGUUAAGGCAGCCAAAUUGUACAGUGGAUAGAGUUCUGGACCUGGAAUCAGGAAGACGAGGUUUAAUCUAGAUUCAGACUCUUAUUAUGACCCUGGACAAGUCACUUAAUGCCUCAAGCUCAAUUUCAUUUAUCCACUAAACAGGUUAGAUUUGUUAGUUUCUAAGGAUCCUUCUAUUUCUAAAUCUAUAAUGUUUAUGAUAUUUAUUCUCUUCUGGUUCUUGGGACCUUGCAGCUACCUGGUUCUAUUUGUAAUAGAAAGGUUUUAAUAGAAUAUCCAGUUUAAUAGAAUAUGCAGUUUACUUUAUAUCAUAUACUAACUAGUAUGAUGCUUAAUAACAGGCCCUAAUUAGUUGAAUGAAAAAAAUAUUUUUCACCUUAAUUCUAUCAAUCAAUUUAAAGUAUUAAAGGUACAGAAAGGUUGCUUGUUCGAAUUAGUGGAGGGAGUUUCCUCCCCAGGAGUUCCCUACAAUAAUAAAAUCACAAAUCCAGACCAAAAUAAAUGACCAAAAAUCUACUUUAAAACAAAAAAAGCUGGUUACUUUAAAGAAUGGAUUUCCUAUUCAUAUACAACAUAAAGGGACCAAACAUUUUUAUUGUUACUGUCCACUGUUAUAAGUUCACUCUCAUGAUUAAAGAUUUAUAUUAAAAAGACAUCAAAUUAUGUGGUCACAAGUAUCUCAUAGAAUGUAUAUUUGUUGUAAUGUUUUGUUUUCACAUCACAUCCCCACUGUACCUCCACCAACCUUUUCGGGAAGCAAUUCAUUAUAAAGAAUAUUAUUUUGAAAAAAGAGAAUAAAAUAUAGUCUAUAAAACUAAUAAGAUGGGGCAGACCGGGAAGUUUAGUAAGAUUUGGGGGAUACUUAUAAUUUUAUUUUCUUACAGGUUAUAACACAACUCAUAUUUCACUAUCAAUGGAAAAAUGUAAAUUCUUUGAUAAAUGAAUGACUUCUUUGGUUUCUCGUGACUUAUAACUGUAUUUUCCAUGUCAGUUGUUGAGCAAAAUCUUUAUUCAAGUUAAUAGCUGACUAAGAUUUAUGUUUUGACAUCUUUAUUCAAAUAUUUAAUUUGUGAGAGUGGUAACUGGAGAAGGAAAUUGAAAACCUCUCCACUACCUUUGCCAGUAAAUGCCAAAUGGGGUCACAAGUUGGACAUGAUUGAAUUGACUGAACAAAAAACAAAGAGAGGUAGCAUGAAUUUCUGUGUACCUGAAUUCAAAACUCACCUCUUACCCUUACUAGCUAUAUAGCAUUGGGCAAAUUACAAUCUCUCUAAGACUUGAAUAAUUCUCCAGGUCUAGAAGAUGGGUUUUGAUCAAUGUUAAUAGGGUUCUAUAUCUAUAUUAUUUAUAAUAAAAUGCUAUAUGUUAUCUAAAGUUAAAAUAAUAUUGCUUUUUGAAGUGUGUAGACUUUUUAGAUGUAUAUCCAGUUCAAAAGUCUAGACAAAGUCAAUUGCUUGGCACCUGGCAAGCCCUAUUUCUUGUUAUCCAAAUGCUCCUUAGUAUUGGGUAGAUAGUGGAGGGUGAGGGGAAGAAAAUUAGGUCAAUAGACAUUAUGUUAUCCCAUCCUCUUUCCAGCUGGACAUUCCCUCAGCACACAGAACCAAGUAGAGAGGGAAUGAUAGAUGUAACAGAGAGGCAAAGUAGGAGGCCAGCUGGAUGGAGUGAUUUGGCAGAAGUAAAAAAAAAGAAUCCUACCAUUUUAUACUGUUUGAACCUAGCCUUACAUUCUAAGAAACCAAACCUGUUACUUAGGGGCUAGAUUUAUUUAAGAGUGCUUAACUCAGGACUCAGGUUAUGAUGACCAAAAACUCAAUCAAAUCCAAGAUGGCAAGGAAGAGGAGUUUUUCCCCCAUUUUACUCUCAACCACAUAUACAUGUGUCAUCUGGAAAGUGCCUCCGUGUUGGCUAUUUGGCUGUUUCCUUGUUCCUGUGUUUAAAUUCUAUGUAAUGUGUGACUUAUGGACCCUCAGGGGAAGUGGGUCACCUUUUUUUAAGUUCUACUAAAUAACUUAAUAAAUUUCUUUCUAAAUUA